Small nucleolar RNA from Anguilla rostrata (American eel), 91 nucleotides. RefSeq annotates it as small nucleolar SNORD12/SNORD106. The record is from RefSeq and is a predicted model, not a curated record. Lineage: Eukaryota; Metazoa; Chordata; Actinopteri; Anguilliformes; Anguillidae. The transcript has a single exon.
GCUGGUGUCCGUGAUGACUUAUCUUUUUUCCCCAGCAGACCGACAGUGUUGAUUGCUCAGGAAUUUAAGCCAAAACCUCUGAAACACCAGC